This 117-nucleotide ribosomal RNA is filed under the name Lepisosteus oculatus (spotted gar). The record is from RNAcentral. Lineage: Eukaryota; Metazoa; Chordata; Actinopteri; Semionotiformes; Lepisosteidae.
GCUAGCAGCCAAAUCACCCUGCAGCUCUCAACUGGCUACCCACUUAAACUAAGCAGGGUUGAGCCUGGUCAGUACCUGGAUAGGAGACCUCUUGGGAAGCUAUGGUUUCUGCUGGAA